This 208-nucleotide long non-coding RNA is filed under the name Elaeis guineensis (African oil palm). RNAcentral describes it as "long non-coding RNA (EGUI_LNC048895)". The record is from RNAcentral. Lineage: Eukaryota; Viridiplantae; Streptophyta; Magnoliopsida; Arecales; Arecaceae.
CAGAUAUCUUAUUGCUUUGGAGUGUCCAAGGUACUUGAAAAAGAAGGAAGAAAUCAGCCAUCGAAGUUACUUGCAGGCUAGCACCUCCAAGCUUCAAAUCUGCGUCAGUCUUCGAGUGGAUUUUUUGUAGAGGCCAGACAACUUCGUAUGGCUGCGAGCGAUCUAAGGAACACCUUCUCCAACCAUUGGACUAGAGGAGAUCAAUAUC